AAUAUUUCAAGUCUAUAUAAUAUCAGAAACAUACACUCAUACUCAAUAAAGAAAUAAGUUGAUACCUUAUUACAAAUAUAUAGCACUGUUCAGAAAGUGCAUGUUAUAGCACAUUUUGAGUAUUGUUGAUUUUGUGGAUGAAGUCUUGGACUAGUUACUUUUUCUGUGAUUGAUGUCGUGAACUGCCCAGCCAUGCAAGUAACAAACACGCUUGAUUUGUUACGUUACAUUAAUUACUGAGAUACAUGCAGAUGAUGGAGAGGAAAAUGGAGAAGAAAAUAUGAGUUUUUUUACAGGUGACCUAUUGCAAUGUUUCACUACCGAUAUACAGAGUUAAUGCACCUGAUUUAAAUUAUUCCUGCUACGUGUUGAACAUUUGAAAUUCAUAAAACGUUUGAGUGGAUUGUCUGAGUGGAUUGUCUAACAUACAAUUCCAUCAUUAAAAACAGCAUUGCCUGGACAUUUUACGGAAAAGGAGAAGUUCACUGAAGAAUGAGUGAUACAGAUGGAGUAGCUGGUGAUUCAGUAGCACCUGCUCUGAACCAUGAAACUUUGAUGAAGAAAUCAAAAUUUAAAGAAGGGUUGUCAGGCAGGGGCCUUGAAAAAUUGGGUAAUAAAGACAUUCUAGUGAACAGAAUAUUGAGAGUCAUGAACUUUGGUAAAACAGACAUUUCAACCUCAAGUGACAGUUCUAAUGAGGAUGAUGAAAUUGUGCCUAAUCCUUCAACUCUAAAAACUGGAUGGGAAGAAAUGGUAACCUCAAACAGUCCAAAUAUUAAAGAAGACAUCCUCAACUAUUUCUUAUAUUCAAAAUACCCUGUUUCAGGAAAAGCAAAGAAAUGCAAGAGGCAACUGAAGAAGGCUUGGAGACUCUGUAAUGAAAAUUUUCUUGGGGAAAAUGAAAGUAAACAAUGUUAAUGAUACAUGCAGAGUGCAGACCAAGUAUGAGACAGUGAAAGUCGAUGGAAAAACAGAUGACCAUUACAGCCUGUAUGUUACCAUUAUUAAAACUGGACAAAUUGAGAACUCAUGUAAUUGUAAAGCUGGAAAAGCUGGACUUUGUUCCCAUGUUGGAGCAGCCCUAUUUGUCGUUUUGAAAAUUAAAAACCCAUGUACAACUAGUGAUAUGCUAGAUGGACUAGGAUGUGCUUACCCAAACUCUGUUCUUUAUCAAACAAUGUUUGCACGAACUGCAGACUUAACAGACUUUAUGACCAUAUUUCAACCAUCGUAUAUGUUUAUGGACAAUGUGGAUUUGAGUUCUAUUGUAUACCAGUCCGAAUUUAUUGACUUUGUUAAUCAACUGGAAAUGUCUCCCUCAACUAUAUCAGAAUUGAACAAUUCAACCCAUGGACAAGCAAACAAUAAGAAUUGGAUAGAGGCUAGAACUUGAGUGUUGACUGCUUCUAAUUUUGGUGCAGUUUGUAAGAGAAAAGAAGAAAUGCCCACAGAAAAUUUAGAUAGAGUACUUUGUGGAUACAAUACAUAACCAAAUACAUGCAGUAUAUCAUGGGGAAAAAGUAUGAAUGUAAAGCUCACAGACAGUAUGUGCAAAAUCAUAGAAAAAAUUGUAAAGAUGUCUUUGUAGAAGACAUGGGUCUCUAUAUAAGCAAGAGAUAUCCUUUCCUUGGAGCCAGUGUGGAUGGAUUAGUUCGGUGCUCCAGAUGUGGAACUGGGGUUGUAGAAAUUAAGUGCCCCUAUGGCAGAAAAGAAGACAAGUGGAGAAACAAACUUCCUGAAGAAUGUGCAAACAACCGAUUUUUUUGUUGAGAUGCAAGAAGAAAAGUUACGCCUAUAAAGACAACAUAAUUAUUUUUACCAUGUUAAGGCCAAAUGGUAAUUUUUGAAAUUGAAUUGGUAGAUUUUGUAAUUUGGACCUAAAAAGGAAUUUCCACUGAAAGAAUUCUGUUUGAUCAAAAUUUCUGGCAUACAAAUUGAAAUAUUUUUAUACAAGGAACAUUGGAGCUGAGAUAUACACCUGUAGAGUAAGACGUGGCAAAUCUUUAUACUGACUUUCAUGUUAGCGCAUUUUUCAAUAUUCAUUGCAUGUUUCAUAUUAAACUAUUUUUUCAACACAGUUUACACACAUUUAAUUGCUUUACAAAUCAUUUGAGCAGUGGUUCAUACAAAUUUGUCAUGGCAGUACAAUUAAAAUUAUUUGCUCAGCGAGAUGUGCUUCAGAAAGCGACAACACGGUUUGUAAUAUUUUUAAUUUUUUUUAUCUACUCCAUCUUCAUCUCAACAACAAUCCUUGGUUGAGCAAUUUGUUGAGUUUUGAAGAAUUCGUCUGCGGUCAUCUGAUUUGACGAUGACACAAAUGGUGGCAUAUUGAGUCCAAUAUCAGCUGGUAGCUAGUCAGCAAUUGUAAAUCCGCUAAAAUUGUAUUACCACUUUGAAGUUGUGGUAGAAACAUAUUGCCAUCACCCUGUACAAUAUGACGAACUGAUGUGUGCCCACCCCAAACUCGUGACACAAAUGUUAUUAACCUAUUGGGUGCAACACCUAUUAAUACUUUAAAUGUAUUGUGGUGUUUGUAUUCACUCCAGGUCAAAAACUGAACUCACAGAAAAAUUCGGUUGCAUCAAUUACAAUUCUCACAGUUGGCAUAUCCAUAAAUGCAUUUGGAAGAUUAGCCAAAAUUUGUUCUCAUGUUGGCCAUGGUAUCAAUCCUUUAUAGUGGUCAUAAAGGAAGUUGAUCCAAGUAUUCAAAAUUCUUGAAACAGUCAUGACCGAUACAAAGAACAUAUCUGCCAAAUGUUCCUGUAGCAUGCCUAGUAUCAGCCUUAAACAAACCAUAUAAAAUUCAUCAUUGGGUCGUAGCUUCCUUUUUCUUCCAGGUUUAAAAAAGCAAGGGGUAUUGUAUUUCCUAUCAUCUGUAUCUAGUAAUCGCAGUUCUCCUUCCCAGUAUGUAAGCCUAUCUCCCCCAUGUUUCAUCAAAACAUUGAACAUCAAAUCAAAUGUCUUGUAAUUUGGGAAACCAGUGUAAAACCUGGUUUUGUCGUCAUUGUUAUAAAUAUCUUCAGGCUUCAUAAAUGGAUACUGAGCUUGAACUUCAGCAGUACAUGUUAAUCUAACAUCGGAUGAAAUAAUCUGUGUUUGAAAAUCACAAGUAUUGCUGCUCCCGUCAUUGUACAGUGUCACUGAUUUGAUCACAUUGCUGUGUGUUGCAUGUAUUAUGGUUAGGAAUUUUCUCGUCUGCGGUAAUUGUAGUUAAAAGUUUUAUUUGCAGGGUCAGGAGUUAUUUUUAUUAGUACCCUACGUGGAGUUUUUUCUGCCUUUGCAUGCUUUAAGUUUAAUUCAGUAGGCACUGAUGACUUAAUGCAUACAUUAUUUUCAAAAUGUAAAUUGUAUAUUUGGGUAUUAUCUGUAAUAGGAGCAUUUGGCCAAAUGAAUUUGAUCGGUGAGGCCAUCAUUAAAAAUGUUUUUGUUUGAUGUACUCCGACCCACAUUUUUCAAGGUGGGUCGGUAGGUAGGUGUUUUUGUUUGUUUGUUUUUUAAUGUCAUGAAAUUUUUUAAUGUUUAGUUUUAAAGUAAGGAGAAUUUUCUAUUUUUCAAGGGAACAAAAAAAGAAAAAAAUGAAAUUUAAAAUUGCUGAAAAAAAUGAUUGGGUAGGAGCAAAUUUGACAGGUUGGUCGGAGUACAUCAAACAAAUAAAUUUUUAUUUUUGGCCUGAAUCCAGCUCUCCCUAUGUGUUUUAUCAUUUUCUUUCGUACCUACGAGUAUUCUGUGCAAUGUAAUUUUCUCAUUGUUUUCAGUGACUUGGCCUUGGUAGUGUGAUCACAAGACACAAUAAUGACGCCCACCACCCAUUUUAUGGUUAAAGCCCUAUAUAAGAAGAAAAACACUUUUAUAAAUAUUGUAUAGCAAGGGCAGAUCCAGAGAAUUAGUAGGGGGCCGAAAUAAGGCCCCAUUUCCAGUGCUAAAAUGCAGACCUGUAUUUUUCCCAAUUUUUGCUUUUAAAUUCCCAAACAAUGAAAACAAGUCCCAACAGGGUAGCCUUUUUGUUAAAAAAUCUUCAAAGGCCCACAUAUUACAAUUUGUGCUUCAAAAUUGUUAAGUAAACUUCAUUUUUUGGCCUCUGAUUAUUUGAAUGAGGCCAGCUUUGACCAAAUUGCAAGUCAGAAGGAGUCCAAUCAUUCUUUAAGGCUCUGGUUUGAUUUUCUCCCUACUUCUUUGUAUGGAACAAUUUUCCCAAUUUCAAGCAAAUGUCGCUAUUUUUCCCAAUUGGGAAGGCCCAGGCCCUUGACAAUCAAUACCUUAAAAAUCUCUGCCUUUUUUCACAGACUAAAAAAAUACAAGAGAACCACAAAGGUUUCAUAAUAAUAUUACUGAAGUCUACAUGGAAAGAAGCUGGUUUUUUAUAGAAUUGCCCAAAAGUUGCUUCCUGAUAUGUUUUUAAAAAAAAAUGUAACCAAAAGUAGUUUUAUUUUAUGGGUUAUGCAAUUUUUUUCAUUGGUUAGAUUCUUUCAAUUUUUGAGAAGAAUUUCAAUCUCACUCAGACUCACUCCUGAUACUUCUGUAUGAGCAAUUCAAAUCAUGUCCUCUUUGUAUAUUUAAAAUUACAUAUUCAACAUUUCAUAGAGAAAAAUAAUUGUUGUCACUAUAAAAAUCGUUUUAAAACUGACUCCUCAAGAUGUUACGCAAACAAGCAGAGGGGGUGUAAAUGGUUGUGUAGAAAAUUGCCUAAACAAUCGUGUACUGCCCCCCCCCCCCCCCCCCCCCAAAUUCCUGGAUCUGCCUAUGUUAUCAUGGUUAUAUGUUGUUUAAAACUCGUGAUCUAUUUGCUUUUAUUUUUUCUGAUCAUAUCUCAUUGAAAUAUAACAAUUAAACAUCAGUGUUUUCUUGGGACCACGUGAAAUAACCACAGACGAUCAUUUUAUCAACUUCGUAAGUUAUGCUGUUUAACAUAUUACGAAGUCUAUAAACAAAUCCCAGUAGAAAUAACGGUUGCAGAACUCAAACACUAAACAGACAUUUAAAUGUUUACACAUUAUCAUCAGCACAAGUUGCUUCCACCCUCAAUAAAAUUGAUUAUGUGUUUGUGUACGAAUACAUGACUGUCACUAUGGAUGUGUGUUUGCAAUGAAAACUUUUCUGCAUAAAUCUAGCCAAUGGUGUUCACAAACUACAUUUCAUUCCUUUUAAGCUUGUCUAAAUAUUACAUUAACUUUAAUCUUCAUAAACAAAAACCCUUCAUCACCUUAUUCGCUUGUUUCCAACGAUCGAAUCAAGAUGUUUUGUCAUACACUCGCUUGUUUACAUAUGACGUUGCCUAGUGAACCAGAACUACUUAGUCUAACUACGAGUGGUGUCAAGGGGGGCUACUGUGUAUAUCGGUAGCUAACCAUUGGCUGUCGUCUGUCGCCGUGUGUUAACAGUUGAACAUUUUUAACUUCUUCUUGAUAAGUACUAUUCCAAUUCUUUUCAAAUUUGGUAUGAAUCAUCUUUGGGGCUAGGGGGACAUCAAUUGUAAAUUUCAGGACUCCUGCACCUAAAAUUGACCAGUUCUAAAAAAAAAAAAAAAAAAAAAACCCUCUUCUGUAGAAUCGCACAAUUGUAAGCAAAACUAAAUGCAUUGUGAUGUAGAGCAGGAAGGCCUCUACUGAAAAUGUAAAUUUCAUGAUCCCCCGGGUAGGGUUUUGACCCCAGGGCGGGGCCAAAUUUAAUAUACAGUGUUUAUGUGUAAAACAAUUAAAUAGCAUCUUCUUUAGUGCUAUUGAUACUAAAUAAACACAUGUUUAAGAAAAACUAAAUGCAUAGUGAUGUAGAGCAAAAUUGUAAAUUUCAUGAUCCCAGGGGUAGAGGUCCUGACCCAAGCGGUGGGGCCAAACUUAGUAUAUAGUGUUUAUGUGUAAAACACUUACAGUACCUGCAACAUUAUUAUUGACAUUCCUAUUGUGUUCUAUUGUGUGUGUAUCCUAUCGUAUUGUGCGUGUAUCCUAUUGUAUUGUGUUUUGUGUUUAUCAGGUUUUCAAUUUUCUGUCCUGUUUUGCGUUUAUCAGAUCUAUCAUGUUUUGCGUGUAUCAGGUUUUCCGUUUAUGGUGAAAAUCGUUUAUCGUGUAGCUUCGGCAACUAUAGGAAUCGUAUAUUAAAUCUAAUGAAAGCUU
This is a long non-coding RNA of Ostrea edulis (European flat oyster), 6107 nucleotides long. RefSeq lists it as uncharacterized. The transcript has 2 exons. The record is from RefSeq and is a predicted model, not a curated record. NCBI's taxonomy places the organism in Eukaryota, Metazoa, Mollusca, Bivalvia, Ostreida, Ostreidae.